RNAcentral lists this ribosomal RNA (312 nucleotides) under Triticum aestivum (bread wheat). Its description in RNAcentral is "partial small subunit ribosomal RNA". The record is from RNAcentral. Lineage: Eukaryota; Viridiplantae; Streptophyta; Magnoliopsida; Poales; Poaceae.
AUGGCCCAAGGGAUCAAUGAUACCGUAAUUUGUCUCAUACCCAAAGGGAAAGAACCCCAAACACUAAAGGACUACCGGCCCAUUAGCUUGUGUAAUGUCAUAUACAAGGUGAUCUUCAAAUGUUUGGUGAACCGUCUCCGGCCUCUUCUGGAUGACCUUGUCUCAGAGACGCAAAGUGCGUUCAUCCCAGAAAGAAUGAUAACCGACAAUGCCAUCAUUGCGUUCGAGUGCUUUCACAAAAUCCAACAUAGCAAAAAUCAGCAUCAAACCCACUGUGCCUAUAAGCUUGACCUUGCAAAAGCAUAUUGCUAA